CCUACGGGUGGCAGCAGUGGGGAAUAUUGCACAAUGGGGGAAACCCUGAUGCAGCGACGCCGCGUGAAGGAAGAAGUAUUUCGGUAUGUAAACUUCUAUCAGCAGGGAAGAAAAUGUCGGUACCUGACUACGCAGCCCCGGCUAACUAAGGGCCAGCAGCCGCGGUCAUCCGUAGGGGGCAAGCGUUAUCCGGAUUUACUGGGUGUAUAGGGAGCGUAGGCGGUUUAGCAAGUCAGAAGUGAAAGCCCGGGGCUCAACUCCGGGACUGCUUUUGAAACUGUUGAACUAGAUUGCAGGAGAGGUAAGUGGAAUUCCUAGUGUAGCGGUGAAAUGCGUAGAUAUUAGGAGGAACUCCAGUGGCGAAGGCGGCUUACUGGACUGUAACUGACGCUGAGGCUCGAAAGCGUGGGUAGCAAACAGGAUUAGAUACCCGAGUAGUC
This 440-nucleotide ribosomal RNA is filed under the name uncultured bacterium. Its description in RNAcentral is "partial 16S ribosomal RNA". It matches the Rfam family "Bacterial small subunit ribosomal RNA", at positions 338 to 795 of the family's 1533-position model. The record is from RNAcentral.